This 440-nucleotide ribosomal RNA is filed under the name uncultured bacterium. Its description in RNAcentral is "partial 16S ribosomal RNA". It matches the Rfam family "Bacterial small subunit ribosomal RNA", at positions 338 to 795 of the family's 1533-position model. The record is from RNAcentral.
CCUACGGGUGGCAGCAGUAGGGAAUGUUGCGCAAUGGGCGAAAGCCUGACGCAGCAACGCCGCGUGAUUGAGACGGGCUUCGGGGUGUAAAGAUCUGUUAGUGGGGACGAAACUUGACGGUACCCACAGAGGAAGCACCGGCUAACUCCGUGCCAGCAGCCGCGGUAAUACGGGGGGUGCAAGCGUUGUGCGGAAUCAUUGGGCGGAAAGGGUUCGUAGGCGGCACGUAAAGUCUGGUGUUAAAGGCCGAGGCUCAACUUCUGUACGGCACUGGAUACUUGCGAGCUAGAAUGCGGUAGAGGUAAAUGGAAUUCCUGGUGUAGCGGUGAAAUGCUUAGAUAUCAGGAGGAACAUCGGUGGCGUAGGCGCUUUACUGGGCCGUAAUUGACGCUGAGGAACGAAAGCCAGGGUAGCAAAUAGGAUUAGAUACCCUAGUAGUC